AGAGUUUGAUCAUGGCUCAGGACGAACGCUGGCGGCGUGCCUAAUACAUGCAAGUAGAACGCUGAAGAAAGGAGCUUGCUUCUUUUGGAUGAGUUGCGAACGGGUGAGUAACGCGUAGGUAACCUGCCUUGUAGCGGGGGAUAACUAUUGGAAACGAUAGCUAAUACCGCAUAACAGCUUUUGACACAUGUUAGAAGCUUGAAAGAUGCAAUUGCAUCACUACGAGAUGGACCUGCGUUGUAUUAGCUAGUAGGUAGGGUAACGGCCUACCUAGGCGACGAUACAUAGCCGACCUGAGAGGGUGAUCGGCCACACUGGGACUGAGACACGGCCCAGACUCCUACGGGAGGCAGCAGUAGGGAAUCUUCGGCAAUGGGGGCAACCCUGACCGAGCAACGCCGCGUGAGUGGAGAAGGUUUUCGGAUCGUAAAGCUCUGUUGUAAGAGAAGAACGUGUGUGAGAGUGGAAAGUUCACACAGUGACGGUAACUUACCAGAAAGGGACGGCUAACUACGUGCCAGCAGCCGCGGUAAUACGUAGGUCCCGAGCGUUGUCCGGAUUUAUUGGGCGUAAAGCGAGCGCAGGCGGUUUAAUAAGUCUGAAGUUAAAGGCAGUGGCUUAACCAUUGUUCGCUUUGGAAACUGUUAAACUUGAGUGCAGAAGGGGAGAGUGGAAUUCCAUGUGUAGCGGUGAAAUGCGUAGAUAUAUGGAGGAACACCGGUGGCGAAAGCGGCUCUCUGGUCUGUAACUGACGCUGAGGCUCGAAAGCGUGAGGAGCAAACAGGAUUAGAUACCCUGGUAGUCCACGCCGUAAACGGUGAGUGCUAGGUGUUAGGCCCUUUCCGGGGCUUAGUGCCGCAGCUAACGCAUUAGCACUCCGCCUGGGGAGUACGACGCAGUUGAAACUCAAAGGAAUUGACGG
This 922-nucleotide ribosomal RNA is filed under the name uncultured bacterium. RNAcentral's name for it is "bacterial SSU rRNA". It matches the Rfam family "Bacterial small subunit ribosomal RNA", at positions 8 to 916 of the family's 1533-position model. The record is from RNAcentral.